AUUGAACGCUGGCGGCAGGCCUAACACAUGCAAGUCGAACGAGUGGCGGACGGGUGAGUAAUGUCUGGGACACUGCCUGAUGGCGGGGGAUAACUACUGGAAACGGUCGCUAAUACCGCAUACCAUCAGAUGUGCCCAGAUGGGAUUAGCUAGUUGGUGGGGUAACGGCUCACCAAGGCGACGAUCCCUAGCUGGUCUGAGAGGACGACCAGCAACACGGGAACUGAGACACGGUCCAGACGCUUACGGGAGGAAGCAGUGGGGAAUAUUGGAAAAUGGGGGCAAGCCGGAUGAAGCCAUGACGCGUGUAUGAGGAAGGCCUUCGGGUUGUAAAGUACUUUAAGCGGGGAGGCGUUACCAGCAGAAGAAGCACCGGCUAACUCCGUGCCAGCAGCCGCGGUAAUUC
This 406-nucleotide ribosomal RNA is filed under the name uncultured bacterium. RNAcentral's name for it is "partial 16S ribosomal RNA". It matches the Rfam family "Bacterial small subunit ribosomal RNA", at positions 29 to 526 of the family's 1533-position model. The record is from RNAcentral.